CGGUGUCUAGCUCAUCGGCAGAGCGCCCGUGUGAAAAACGGGAGAAUCUCGGUUCGACUCCCUGGGGCACCGGCCA
RNAcentral lists this transfer RNA (76 nucleotides) under Hyphomicrobiales bacterium. Its description in RNAcentral is "Rhizobiales bacterium (bioreactor metagenome) tRNA-Phe". It matches the Rfam family "tRNA". From Rfam's summary of the family: Transfer RNA (tRNA) molecules are approximately 80 nucleotides in length. The record is from RNAcentral. Lineage: Bacteria; Pseudomonadati; Pseudomonadota; Alphaproteobacteria; Hyphomicrobiales.